UACGUAGGCAGCGAGCGUUGUUCGGAGUUACUGGGCGUAAAGGGUGUGUAGGCGGUUGUUUAAGUUUGGUGUGAAAUCUCCCGGCUCAACCGGGAGGGUGCGCCGAAUACUGAAUGACUUGGAGUGCGGGAGAGGAGAGUGGAAUUCCUGGUGUAGCGGUGAAAUGCGUAGAUAUCAGGAGGAACACCGGUGGUGUAGACGGCUCUCUGGACCGUAACUGACGCUGAGACACGAAAGCGUGGGUAGCAAACAGG
RNAcentral lists this ribosomal RNA (254 nucleotides) under uncultured bacterium. RNAcentral's name for it is "partial 16S ribosomal RNA". It matches the Rfam family "Bacterial small subunit ribosomal RNA", at positions 524 to 776 of the family's 1533-position model. The record is from RNAcentral.